GCCUCACCCCCUGCUUUGAUAUUACUUGGGCUUUCCCUCCUAGAUUUCAAAAGAUAAGCAUAUUGGGCCUGGCCAAUAUGUGGAUGGGAGACCACCGAGCAAAGGCCCAGGUGUUGGAGGCA
This 122-nucleotide ribosomal RNA is filed under the name Chelonoidis abingdonii (Abingdon island giant tortoise). The record is from RNAcentral. Lineage: Eukaryota; Metazoa; Chordata; Testudines; Testudinidae.